This 465-nucleotide ribosomal RNA is filed under the name uncultured bacterium. RNAcentral's name for it is "partial 16S ribosomal RNA". It matches the Rfam family "Bacterial small subunit ribosomal RNA", at positions 339 to 795 of the family's 1533-position model. The record is from RNAcentral.
CUACGGGAGGCUGCAGUGGGGAAUAUUGCACAAUGGGCGCAAGCCUGAUGCAGCCAUGCCGCGUGUAUGAAGAAGGCCUUCGGGUUGUAAAGUACUUUCAGCGGGGAGGAAGGGAGUAAAGUUAAUACCUUUGCUCAUUGACGUUACCCGCAGAAGAAGCACCGGCUAACUCCGUGCCAGCAGCCGCGGUAAUACGGAGGGUGCAAGCGUUAAUCGGAAUUACUGGGCGUAAAGCGCACGCAGGCGGUUUGUUAAGUCAGAUGUGAAAUCCCCGGGCUCAACCUGGGAACUGCAUCUGAUACUGGCAAGCUUGAGUCUCGUAGAGGGGGGUAGAAUUCCAGGUGUAGCGGUGAAAGGCGUAGAGAUCUGGAGGAAUACCGGUGGCGAAGGCGGCCCCCUGGACGAAGACUGACGCUCAGGUGCGAAAGCGUGGGGAGCAAACAGGAUUAGAUACCCCCAGUAGUC